This 253-nucleotide ribosomal RNA is filed under the name uncultured bacterium. RNAcentral describes it as "partial 16S ribosomal RNA". It matches the Rfam family "Bacterial small subunit ribosomal RNA", at positions 524 to 776 of the family's 1533-position model. The record is from RNAcentral.
UACGGGGGGGGCAAGCGUUGUUCGGAAUUACUGGGCGUAAAGGGCUCGUAGGCGGCCAACUAAGUCAGACGUGAAAUCCCUCGGCUUAACCGGGGAACUGCAUCUGAUACUGGAUGGCUUGAGUUCGGGAGAGGGAUGCGGAAUUCCAGGUGUAGCGGUGAAAUGCGUAGAUACCUGGAGGAACACCGGUGGCGAAGGCGGCUUCUUGGGCCGUUCCUGACGCUGAGGCGCGAAAGCCAGGGGAGCGAACGGG